This 661-nucleotide long non-coding RNA is filed under the name Ictidomys tridecemlineatus (thirteen-lined ground squirrel). RNAcentral's name for it is "lncRNA (ENSSTOG00000031769.1)". Lineage: Eukaryota; Metazoa; Chordata; Mammalia; Rodentia; Sciuridae. The record is from RNAcentral.
AGACCAGCAAGUGAGCCUGACCCCAAAUCUCCAUUUAAAGGAAUGGCAGAGUACAUGGCCCACCAAGGAGAGCGUGGCCAGCGCGUCCGACCCUCCAGCCUACACCGGGGACAGGCCUUCUCUGCCGCCAGCCCUUCUUUACUCUCUGCCGCCAGUGGUCGCGCAGUGAGAGCUGCUCAGAGUGAGCCGGAACAACCUGGCCUGUUUGGCUCUCAUCCCAAGGUCGUUUUGUGUCACUGCUUGCGGAUGUGUAGUUCCUAAUCCUCUUCUGCCUUUUUAUACUGAUUUGCAUACAAACCACAGGAGAAAGUUCUUUGAGAAGCUGACCGGGCUUCUGCCAUGGGCUGGAGAUUCUAAAUUCACUAAAGGACUGGCGCGACCAUGCUGCGCCACCCUGAAGCCCGAAGGCGGUUUCUCAGGUCGAGUCCACACCCCACUGGCACUGUCAAAAGGCUGUUGGCCUUUACGAUGGUGUGUUGAGCUCCUUAGAGGGCCCAGAGAUGAGUGAGCCUGGCGACCGCAGGCCGCUGAAGAUGGCCAGCCAGUCUCUCCUGUCCGUGCUGUACUCCCACACCUGAGCCUUUCCUGAUGACUGUUCCUGAAUUUUAUUGACAUUUUACUGUAGAAAAUAUUUAAUUUUGUGCCAGAUUAAACUUUACUG